UCAUAUUCAUGAUGUUUUCUAAGUAGCCAGUACUUAGGAUGCAGAAGUAAAGAUUCCAGUUGUGAUUUUAUAGUUGCUCUGUGGGUCAGUCCCCCACCUCUGUAUGGAAAAGAAUCACAGAAUGAUUUGGGUUGGAAGGGACUUACAAACCAUUUCAUUCCAGCCCUCUGCCAUGGGCAGGAACAUUUUCCACUAUCCCAGGAUGCUCAGAGCCCCAUCCAGCCUGGCCUUGGACACUGCCAGGGAUGGGGAAGCCACAGCUACUCUGGAAGGAGGACAGGAGUCUCAUUAAAGAGCACGGUUCCCUAGUUUGUUCAGCUGAUGAAAAAUUUCCAGCUAGUGGAAGAACUCUAAUAUAUGCAAUCUCUUUGGAAAUAGCCUUGGAGCUGUGUUUUUUAGUAAGGAAUACUGCUGUCCCAGGGAGACAGGAGACUAGUUAAACCAUAGAAACCUAAGAGAGUUUUUGUCCAUGCUUACACCGUUUUGUCUGCACUCCCUAUCAUCUGUCUGUUUGCUUUGACCCUCACCAAACCAGGCCAGAUAUUUGACUGCUUCUCUUUGGUCAGUAAUCCUUCUGAGCACACUGAUUUUUUUUCCACAGUUUUGAGUUAACUCAAGUGGUCAAGCUGUGGUCAUGCAUGGCUAAUUACAGUGGAAGGAGAAAAAUGAGUACAUUGAUUAACAUUCUGUUCCUUUGGAGAGACUGAGAAACAGCUUUGGCAGCUCCAGCUCCACUGACACCCUGCUGGCAGCUCAUUGCCUGUGCUUCUGAAUCGCAGUAAUUCCUGAAAAACGUGGCAGAUCCUUGACUGGGAACUGGGAGGGUAAGAACAGAGUUCUGGGGAUUUGGUGUUUGAUGCAGUUUUAAAAAGCUUUCCUUCCCUGAGCCCCCAUGGCCUUUCUCCACAGCAGGCUCAAGCGCUGCAGGCUUAAUUACUCUGCUUCCAUUGGUGCACAGAGCUCUGUGCUCCUGAGGGCUCCACAAGAAUUCCAUCCAACAGGACAGUGAGAGAUCCAGCAUUACACAACUGGUCCUGCUCAUCCUGUGGAAUGUGCCUGAGCUGACUGCUCCACCUCUCUGUGACACUGGACCCAUUCAGGGACAGCACACACAAGGCUCUGGAAUUGCUCUGUGGGAACCAGAUCUUCUGUUGACUUAAAUUAAGACCUUAAACAUACUUUUUUUUUUCUUUAGUGUUCUGCCUCGUUUUUAUCAGACCCAACUCUUUUCUUCAUGCUGUGACAAUUAAUUGGAUUAUUUUCAUUUAAAGAUCCAAGCCCACAAGAUAAGUGGAAUGGAACAGAAUUGUUUUCCUUUCCCUGCUCUCCCUCAUUAGUAGUCUAAACAAGUGUGAGGCUGCAUUAAGUUUGUAGCUAUUUUGUUAGCUUGAAAUCACUUUCUUCUCUUCUGCAGAUGGAGACUGUGCUUAGAUCAUUAUAUUCCAGCAUGCAAUUGUGGUAUAUUAAAAGUGAAACGGCUACUUUAUGGAAUUUAUGCUUGCAAUUACCUUGGUAGUGGAAAAGGAUGGCAACAAAAAUGUCAAGCCAUGAUCACCAGGAAGGCAGAAAUGUGACUGAGACAGAGCCCAGAUCUCAACCAGUGCAGACAUUCUGAUGUCAUUAGCUAUUUUUAAAUAUUGAUGAUGAUUUCUUAAAGAUGGAGCAUGGCAGGAAACAACUGGGUGAGCAAACGUUACCCCUAUGAAAGGUCUCACAGAAGUAAACCCAAUGAAUUUCUGAGCUGUCUCAUUCUUCAAGAGUUUGCAGACCCAAGAUCUUAACUGUUUAAUUCAAAUGUGAGAUACUGUAUAUGAAAUUUGACCAUAUGUGCCUCCUUUUAAAUUUGCAUUCCACCUAUUAAGAAAUUACAUUUUUGUCCAUGCUGCAGCAUUUUCUGAAUGUUUGAUUCACUACUGUGCCCCAAUGGAAUCAGGCAACUAAAGAUCUACAGUGCAAAAUCUUAUCAGAAUUGUGUAGCAGCACAAUGCUAAAGUGUUACAAAACAGAUUAAAGCAUUUGGGUUUUUUUCCUGGCCUUCUACCUGUUGAAUAUAAAAACCAUAGACUGCUGUUAUUCAGACAGACCAGGGAGCUACAAGUAAAUUUGGAUUACAAGUCGUAUCAGCAGCAGCUAAAAAGGUCGCAAUAAACCAGUAAAAAAUUUGUGGGAAUGUCUCUGAAUGGCUUGCACUAUGCUUACCUAGCUCUGCAUUAUUUUCUGACCAAUCUCAAGUAUUCUGGAAUUUUUCUGGCUUAUUCUUAAGAAAUACACCUGGGUUAUAUUAGGAAAACAGAAAGAAAGAAAGAAAGGAAAGUCAGAAUUGAUUCCUAAAUGUUGAUGAAGUAGUUAGAUGCAAACUACUCGGGAACUAAACGUUUCUAGGUUAUUUCUGAUGCUGAUGCUUCAUCUCCAGCAUGACUCUUAUACAGCAAUUUGGAUUUGUUACACCAAGUGACUGCAAAGAAAGAAAUGUCAAACCCUCACAUAAAUGUCCUUUCUCUGACAAGCUCUCCCUCCUUUGAACUACAAUAACGAGGACAACAUUGUUUUGCUUUGCCACAGACGUUCCCUUAAGUUUUCUGAAGGCUUCAGAGGUUCGGUGGAAUCUGACAAGAGGUAUUUGGGCUUUUGUGUUUGCCUUUCAUUGCUGCACCCCGGGGCCACCGGAGGAGCAGAGGGCACAGGAGCCUGGCUGGUUGUCACAGCCUGCAGGAGUGUCUAACUCCUAUGUCUGGCAGCUUAAAGAGCUGCUGCCCUUCCACAUGGUGAAUAGGUGCUUAUAUUUCUAUAUUAUGGGCUAACUCUGGAAAUACAUAGAAAUAAAUGUUUAUUGGGCUGCUGGUAAUGGUUACACCGUGUCACAGUUUGGGUUAAAACCUUAGGUAUUUCUGUCAGCUCUCCUUCAACAACAAACAAAUUCAUCUUCUUGGUUUGGCUCUGCCACGGUUCAUUUCAGGAUGAGCAUUUGGUUGUAAGUCUCUUUAGGUGUGCAGACCUUCAAAAACUAUGGACAAGCUCAAAUAUUCACGAGGCACCAGCCCACUAACUUCAACUGCAACAGUGGUGAACCCAUUAAUCAGACUUUUAUAGGAGUGAGAUAACCUUCUAUGUGUACAGCUCUGUUAAAAACAUAUAUUUAAAAUUAAAAAAUGAAAAU
Taeniopygia guttata (zebra finch) is the source of this 3157-nucleotide non-coding RNA. The record is from RefSeq and is a predicted model, not a curated record. Lineage: Eukaryota; Metazoa; Chordata; Aves; Passeriformes; Estrildidae.